Molecule: ribosomal RNA, 252 nt
Filed under: uncultured bacterium
Lineage: Bacteria
Description: partial 16S ribosomal RNA
Rfam family: Bacterial small subunit ribosomal RNA
Source: RNAcentral
UACGUAGGGUGCAAGCGUUGUCCGGAAUUAUUGGGCGUAAAGAGCUCGUAGGCGGUCUGUCGCGUCGGCUGUGAAACCCGAGGCUCAACCUCGGGUCUGCAGUCGAUACGAGCAAACUAGAGUGUUGCAGGGGAGACUGGAAUUCCUGGUGUAGCGGUGGAAUGCGCAGAUAUCAGGAGGAACACCGGUGGCGAAGGCGGGUCUCUGGGCAGUAACUGACGCUGAGGAGCGAAAGCGUGGGGAGCGAACAGG